This 59-nucleotide transfer RNA is filed under the name Camelus bactrianus (Bactrian camel). It matches the Rfam family "tRNA", at positions 7 to 64 of the family's 71-position model. Rfam says of the family: Transfer RNA (tRNA) molecules are approximately 80 nucleotides in length. Their secondary structure includes four short double-helical elements and three loops (D, anti-codon, and T loops). Lineage: Eukaryota; Metazoa; Chordata; Mammalia; Artiodactyla; Camelidae. The record is from Rfam by way of RNAcentral. RNAcentral also lists the same sequence under 2 other names.
GUAGCUCAGUGGUAGAGUGUGUGACUAGCAUGCACGAGGUCCUGGGUUCAAUUCCCAGC